RNAcentral lists this ribosomal RNA (253 nucleotides) under uncultured bacterium. RNAcentral's name for it is "partial 16S ribosomal RNA". It matches the Rfam family "Bacterial small subunit ribosomal RNA", at positions 524 to 776 of the family's 1533-position model. The record is from RNAcentral.
UACGUAGGGUGCAAGCGUUGUCCGGAAUUAUUGGGCGUAAAGAGCGCGCAGGCGGUCAAGUCAGUCGAAUGUGAAAGCCCCCGGCUCAACUGGGGAGGGUCAUUCGAUACUGCUCGACUUGAAGGCAGGAGAGGGAAGUGGAAUUCCCGGUGUAGUGGUGAAAUGCGUAGAUAUCGGGAGGAACACCAGUGGCGAAGGCGACUUUCUGGCCUGUUCUUGACGCUGAGGCGCGAAAGCUAGGGGAGCAAACGGG